UAUUUUUAGCCCAUUUGUUAUAUAUUAAAACUUUACAUUAACACAAAAGAUCACGUUUUCUGCACCUGAUUACUUUAAGUUAAACAACAGAUGUCCAAAAGGUGUAUAUCUUUACAAAAGGGCUACUUGAGAUAUAGGGGAGGAAAAACAAAUCCAGACUUGUGAUUUCGAAAACGCUGAGCUAUUGAACUAACGGAGUUGAAACUUUUGAUGCAAGAAAAAAUCAGACAUUCGGAGCAAACCUGACCAGCAUUUUAAUUGUUGGGUGUAGCAGAAUUAACAGCGAAUAAAGAGAAUCUGUUAACGUUUCUGAAGAUGAGUGGCAAAUCCUGGAGUUCUGAUGAAGUGAAAUGGAUUAUAUUGGUUAUAACAAUCAUCUGUGUUUCUCUGGCAACCCUGCUACGCAAAAACUCCAUUGAUUCCAGACAUUUCUCAUCUCGGCGUAGAUAUCGCAAUGGCUGCAACGAGUACACUAAUUCAACCUGUACAAGGUCAAUGUAAAUGUGUAGCAAAUAUACUAUACAUAAUGCUUGAUAAGAAACAAUGUUGAUAUGAUCAAAUUCCUUACUCCAAACUGAAAAAAAAACAACCUAUAUAGAUUAUAAAAUAGAGCUGAAUUGGAUAGUCCAAUGUUGAAGUUUUCGUUGAGGUUGUGUUAGUAAUAGUAUUCUAUCUCUUUAAUGUUUAACUAAAUGUUCACUGUUUGUUUUAGGAUUUUAACAGUAGCAUUCAAUGUUACGUUUCAAAUUCCUGCAAGUCUUGACUUUUUAUUACAGUUGAAAACAAUUGAAAUAAGUUUAAAUUAAUUUAAAUUAUAGUGACAACUUCGCUGAAGAAUCUUGGAUGUUAAUAGGUGAGCAUACUGUUUUGAUGGCAAGAAAUUUUUUCAUACACAAGAUUUUCACUAGAAUAUCGAAAUGUCUUUUUUUUAAUGGGCAUAUCACACAAGUGUUGCCCGUGUAUCACAACUCGUAAGUUGUUAUUCAGCGUUUGGUGUGGUUUGACUUGAACUUCGCGCAAAGCUACACGAGGGGUAUCUUCGCUGGCCGUCGCUUAAUUUAGCAGUGAUAGACUAGAAGGAUGGCAGCUAGUUAACACCGCCACCGCUAACUCUUGGGCCACUCUUUUGCCAACGAAUAGUGGAACUCAUCGUCACAUUAUAUCGCCUCUACGGCUGAAAGGGCGAACCCGCAACCAUCAGAUUGCGUGUCAAGUAGACUUACCACGAGGCCAUGCCAGGCCUGUUAUUCAGAGCAGGUUAUAAGUGAUCACUAAUAGUGUACCCUAUGUAACUUGUUUUGUUAGUUCGUUAGUGCAAAGUUACACACUACACAAUCAACUAUCUGCAAUACUGCAAUGUGUUCACCGCGGGGAAUCGAGCCCAUAAUUUUAGCACUGUAGGUUCGUGAACUUACGCUGCUGACCCAUCAACAGACAAAGAAUAAAAGAUCAUUAUGUUUGUCUACAGAAUGUCUUGCCAUCAAAAUAAUAUUCUCGACUACUGAUGUCGAAGAUAUAGCUGAAACAUUUGAAGGUAGAUGGUGGAUAUUGACCAAUGUAAUACAAUCUGUAACAAUAAAGAUAGGUGGUGGAUAUUUACCCAUAUAAUACAAUUUGUAAUAAUAUAGAUUGAUGGUGGAUAUUGACCAAUGUAAUACAAUCUGUAAUAAUAUAGAUAGAUGGUGGAUAUUGACCCAUGUAAUGAACUCUGUAACAAUAAAGAUAGGUGAUGGAUAUUUACCAUGUAAUACAAUUUGUAACAAUAAAGACAGAUGGUGGAUAUUGAUCCAUGUAAUACAUUAUGUAACAAUAAAGGCAGAUGGUGGAUAUUGACCCAUGUAAUACAUUAUGUAACAAUAAAGGCAGAUGGUGGAUAUUGACCCAUGUAAUA
Molecule: long non-coding RNA, 1891 nt
Filed under: Limulus polyphemus (Atlantic horseshoe crab)
Lineage: Eukaryota; Metazoa; Arthropoda; Merostomata; Xiphosura; Limulidae
Description: uncharacterized LOC111086876
Source: RNAcentral